This 331-nucleotide ribosomal RNA is filed under the name uncultured bacterium. RNAcentral's name for it is "bacterial SSU rRNA". It matches the Rfam family "Bacterial small subunit ribosomal RNA", at positions 568 to 898 of the family's 1533-position model. The record is from RNAcentral.
CGUGUGGCGGCCUCUUAAGUCUGAUGUGAAAGCCCGGGGCUUACCCCCGGAAGUGCAUUGGAAACUGGGCGGCUAGAGUACCGGAGAGGAAGGUGGAAUUCCUGGUGUAGCGGUGAAAUGCGUAGAUAUCAGGAGGAACACCGGUGGCGAAGGCGGCCUUCUGGACGGAUACUGACGCUGAGACGCGAAAGCGUGGGGAGCAAACAGGAUUAGAUACCCUGGUAGUCCACGCGGUAAACGAUGGGCACUAGGUGUUCGGGGUAUUGACCCCCUGAGUGCCGCAGCUAACGCAUUAAGUGCCCCGCCUGGGGACUACGGCCGCAAGGUUAAA